GACACCUAGAAACCAUAUCAAGUCCCCACAGAGCCCUGGCCUGGGCCUGACACCAGACACACAGCUCAUGCUCAGUGCACACUGGCGUCGUGAUCAUAGCAGCUUCAGACUUGAGGAUCCUGGGCCCUGACUUUGCUCACCAGGUCCCAGAAUCAGGGCCACUUAGCAAUGCACAUCUGCCCCAAGAUUCAGUCACAUCCACAAGGAAGACCCAUGUCUGUAAUCAGUGAAGCCUCUGGGUGACCUGUGAGCUGCCUGCCCUCCCUGGGCUCUGCCUCCUGCCUGGCCGACCCCUCCCGACCUCCACAGCCUGGAGUGCAUGGGCACAGGCCGCAGGUUCGGGUGGGUACCACCACGAGCUCCCUGAACCCCAGAUUCUCUCACAUUUCAACACCGGUCACAUCCACUGCUGGGCGGUGCCUGUGUCCCCCUCGCCGAGGGCCAUACCCUUCCGCCUCUCACCUCGAUUCCUAGUGCAUGGCGCAGCAGCUUCUCGGUCGGUGUGCCAGGUGGAUGAUGUCUCAGAUGCAGACACUGCAUUUUACCAGGAGAAUUCACUAUCUGCUGAGCGUGGCUGGAAUCACAGGUGCCUUCACGGUGGCUUUAGAGGGACUUUCCUCCCAGAGCUGCAGGGCAGCCACCAACAAGGCCAAGGGGCAGCCAUGCCCAGCACCUACAGCAGAGCCCUGCGGGUUAGCUCCCCAAGGCCAGCAUGGCCCCGUGGAAGGCACACAUGGUGGGUGAGGGCGGAGGGGGCCACCUCACUGAGGAGCCCGCCCACUGGUGACGGCUGUCACCUCCCCUGGGUGGCCCUAUUCCAGGCCCUGCAGAAUGGCCUCUGAGCAGGGUAACUGGAAGCAAGAGGAUGUGGCCAAACCCAGGCCCACCAUGACCUCGAGGGCCCAUGGCAUGGAGCAGGCAUUGAGGGCUCAGGGCCCGGGGAAGCACAGGAUUUGCUCACAGGGAGGUCUUCACCCUCUGCGGUCUGGAGGGUGGAGCUUUGACGCCUGCACUUGCCAAGUUAGUGGCCCAGCUCAGCAAGGCACAACAGGAUGAAGAAGGCCUCCGGUACUGCAGGUGUCACCGGGCACCUUGGCCGGCAGCCCAGACCCAUCCUCCCGUCUGAGACGGAAACCAGGAUCUUCCAUCACCCACACUCCUGACCCUGCUCCCUCUACAGCCCCUCAAGUCCAGGUGAGUGAAGCCGCCUGGGGCAGGGCAGGGGACAGACGGGCCAGGAUGAGAUGAAGCGGCUUCCGAAAUCAGGUUCGACAUCGCACCCACCAGUUUCAUUGCAGGCCUGGCUAAAAGCUGCCCCCUAGAUAUUCCGUCCAAUUAUUUAAAUCCCAGCCUCUCCACUCACUAUAAAGAUUGGACAGGAUUGGACAUUUAUUAGCUAACUGAAUGGCUGUAAUAAGAUAGGAAAUCCAAAGGAGCAGAAAAUUAAAUGUUCCUGAGUUAUCUUAUUGAAAUUUCCCUUCCAUGGCUUUUAUUGGAGGCGACAGUGCCAGAAUUUCAAAGACGCAUUUUAAGAGACUCCUUUAUGGGGUUCCCCAGCAAACGCUGAAGCCAUCAACGUGAAACCAGCCAGUGAGUGUCGGGAUGGACGGCCCGGGGCCGGGCAGAAACUCCAGCUCAGCUGUGUGGCUCUGCAGGCAGCAGAUCGGCCCCCACUGCACCGUCUCCAGAGAACCAGAGCAAACGCCCAUGUGCCCCGUUGACAGUACCGCGGAUGAAGACACUGCAUUGUACCAGGAGAGUUCACUGUUUUAUUCAUUGAAUUUUGAUUACGUGUUAUCCUAAGGAGAUACACUGAUUUCAUAAGCAAGGCAGGAAGAAUAAACCGCAGGAGGAAGCUGCUGUCAUUUCUCAGGCCCGGCUUCGUUUCAGGAAACAAGGGUUCUGCUCAAGCACAAGCACCGUUCCUGAAGUAGAUGCAUGGAAGUCAUUAGGGGAGAUGUCUGCAGCCCCUGAGAUGGAAGAAGCCUGUCGGGAGCGGCCGCCGGGCUGAGGAGGGGCCUGGCCGCAGGCUGUGGGACUGUUUGAGGCCCUAUGCAAAGGCAAUGCUCCCCCUUGGAACAGGGCUUCUCGUGGGUGGGCGGGUGGUCCCUGCCAGGCUCCUGCGCCCCCCACCCACCCUUUCCAGGAAACUUGGCCCUAUCCGUCAUGA
This 2170-nucleotide long non-coding RNA is filed under the name Homo sapiens (human). Its description in RNAcentral is "HSALNT0278987". The record is from RNAcentral. Lineage: Eukaryota; Metazoa; Chordata; Mammalia; Primates; Hominidae.